This 4616-nucleotide long non-coding RNA is filed under the name Coffea arabica (coffee). RNAcentral's name for it is "long non-coding RNA (CARA_LNC006254)". Lineage: Eukaryota; Viridiplantae; Streptophyta; Magnoliopsida; Gentianales; Rubiaceae. The record is from RNAcentral.
ACUCAGCGACUAAACCAGAAAACCCCGCCGCCGGCAGUGUGCCACGAGCCAGGGGCAUUUGGGACAUCUUCAGAAUCUUUCAAGCCACCUACAUUCAAGCCGUCGGGCUAAUUCCGAUAAAGACGACGCCAAAUUUAAGAUCUGACGGAGAUUUCACAUUAACGAUAUGGCCAAAGAGAACAACUCCUCCGCUAUGGAUGUGGACAACCAGAAUUCGGAAUCCGUUGAUCAGAUUAAUAGCCCUAGGUUCUCUAUCAAUGGUAAUUUACUCUCCCAUAAAGCUCUAGACAGCUAAUUUUGAGGUGAUAAUUUAGUUUUUUUUUUUGGUGAAUUUACAGUUUUGCAGCUCUUGAAAUCGGCUCAGAUGCAGCAUGGAUUGCGGUUUGGCGAUUACGCUCGUUACCGGUAUAACCUACGCUUGUACACUUAUGGUAUAUGUUUAUGAGUAAUUUGGUAUGAUGAAGUUCCGGGAAGUAGGUUUAAUUUUUGUAAGAAAUGCCGUUUGAUAUUGUUUUUACCAUUAUAUAAGCGUAAGUGUGCUCUAUAUAGGUGUAUGAGGGAAUUUAUGACAUUGAUCAUUAGAGGUGGCAGGGUUAAAUUUGUGAAAAAUGUGGUGUGAUAGAGUUGUACUAUUGAGGGAAUGUGAAAUUGACCAGUUUUUACAAAUUUUUUAGGAGGUACUGUACUGCUCGGCUCAGGAGAUUGUACAAGUCGUUGAAAUUCACGCAUGGCCGUGGUAAAUAUAGUAAAAGGGCGAUUACAGCUUCUAUGGUCACUGAAGUGAGGUAAUAGAUUGCCAAGACCAAUGGUUGAAUUUGAUUGACAUUACAGUUGGUAAAUAUUUUAAUUUCGCUUUUGCUAUUUGAAGAACAAAUAUGCUGUUUUGUCUCUCAUUAAUAAUUUCUUAAUGGUCGUUAAUCUAUCCUGAUUCUGCGUGGUGGUUGGGGACACUGUAGGUAUCUUCAUGUGGUUCUUUAUACAGGAGAAAGAGCUUGGAGCCAUGCUAUGGAAAAGAAAACGCUGCCAGAUGGUCCAAAUGCACGUCAGCGUGGCUAUCUGAUUGGUAGGCUGCGAAAAGCAGUCAAAUGGGCUACUUUGUUUCAAGACUUGUGUUCCAUUAAGGGAGAUUCUAGGACAUCUUUGGAAGUAGAGGUGUGCUGAUUAAUUCAUCAUUUUGCACAGCUGCUGUGCCCUGUAUACAAAUAAAGCUAUUUUCGGUCAAAAUACAAUAAGAAUAUGCAAAUUAAGGUUCUAUUGGUAAAUAUUAGUUAUAAUCAUACAAAAAGAGAAGAUAGCCCACAAGUUGGGCCCAAUUACAUACAUGUGUUUAUACUAUUAUUAUUAAGCAAAAUCAAAUAGAUAUAUAUAUAUAUAUGUGUGUGUGUGUGUGUGUUUAAAAAAAUGUAUUCACACACAUAAUUAGUGAGAAAUGAAAAUUAUAUAGGUAAAUGCUAUUUAGUAUAUACUACUAAUGCUAUUUAGUGACAAAUGCUAUUUAGUAUAUACUACUAAUGCUAUUUAGUGACAAAUGCUAUUUAGUAUUAGUAUAUACUACUAAUACUUUAUUAUAUUAUAUAGGUAAAUGCUAUUAAUAAUAAUUAGUAUAUGGUAUUAUCAUCAUAUCAUGUACUUAUAAUACUAAUAAUAUAUAAUAAUGUACAAUAUAUUUAUAUUAUUUUAGUAUUUAUUAACUGUUAUAUGACUACAAUAAUGCAUAGUAAUACAUUACAAUAUAAGAUAACUAUAAUAGUUAUUAUUUUAUACAUGAGUAACAUACUAACAUGACUAGAAUUAGAUAAUAAUUAAUACAUAUAUGUAUAAUACUAAAUAUUAAACAAUAAACAUAAUUAGUAAUUAGAAUUUAGAUAUUGGUAAUUUGAUACAUCAUUCAUGUUUGAAUUAUUGAAUAUUUGAAUGCGUAAUCUAUAACUUGCAAGUAUUAGUGUACUCUAAAUUUACAUUACAUAUUCACUAAUCUUAAGGUUUUAAGUAUAGAUAAGACAACUAAGCAGUGUAAGUGAAUGUAUAUGAAUUGCAAAUCAAUGUAUUAGUGUAUUGACUUUCACAAUAACAUAUGUAAGUAAAUAAGUUUAAUUUUGAUUUGAAAUAAAUUAUAAGUUUGUAACUAACAUAACUUAUCACUAAUCAUUGUAAUUUGUAAGUUUGUAACUAAUAUUACUUAUUAUUAAUCAUUGUAAAUUAUAAAUUCAUAAAUUAUCACUAAUCAUUGUACAGUCUAAGGUUUAUUCUAGUUUAAAUUAAUCACUUUUUAUGUGUUCCUUAAAUCAUAGACUAAGGAUUGUAGGUAUAAGUGAUCAAAUAAGUUAAAAUUCAUAUUAUCUAUUUACUAAUCUUAAGGCUUUAAGUAUAGACAAAAUAACUAAGCUGUGUAAGUGAAUGCAUGUGAGUUGCAAAUCAAGUAAAUAAGUUUUAUUUUGAUUUGAAAUAAAUUAUAAGUUUGUAACUAAUGUAACUUAUCACUAAUCAUUGAUUCAUUGUAAUUUAUAAGUUUGUAACUAAUAUUACUUAUUAUUAAUCAUUGUAAAUUAUAAAUUCAUUGUAACUACUAACUAAAUUAGUUUAAAUUAAUCACUUUUUAUGUGUUUCUUAAAUCAUAGACCAAGGAUUUUAGGUAUAAGUGAUCAAAUAAAUGCCAAUUAAACCACAAAAUGAUUUGAACAUAAGUAAUGUGUUCAAUUAUGAAUAAAUUUGGGGAUCAAAUCAGUAAUAAUUUUUAAAUCAUUGAGGAGCAUAAUGAAUGUAUUAUAAUUUAGGAGCCCCAAUUUAUAAAUUAAAAAUUACAAAAUCACUUCAUUUGGGAAGAGUCGGAUUUCAUCUUCAGCUGAUGACAAGUGAGAAAACAACCAUUGCAAAUUUGCAAUAUUGCAUGGUGCCGUGACUGCCGUCACCUAGGGCUUUCACAGCACUAACACUCCCAAGUCCCAAUUCCCAAAUCGAAGCUGCUCUCCGCCUCUCCGGCCUCCGCCAGUCCGCCGCGCUCUACGCCUCCUGUCGGCUGUGUCCUGCCGUGCUGGUUCAUCGCUGCCGAGUGUCGAAGACGAAGCACCAAGAUCUCACUGGUUCAUCGCUGGUUCAUCACUGCUCAUCUCUGGCUCGCUUAGGUAAGUGCUCCUCUGUUUUUGGCUCUGUGUAUCUGGCAUUAAAAUGGGCCAAGAUCGACUAGGAAAUUUGUUAUCCUGAAUUGAUAAGGGGACGAAAUCUGAGCUUCGAAUUGCAAACUCUAACUGUUGUAGUAGUUUAGAUUAGGUGUGAUAUAACAUAAGCUUUGUAUUUUAUACACAAGAAAGCUCUCUCCAGUUGUGCAGCCUUUAAAAGUUAAGGCCUUGGGGAAAAAUUCCACCUUUUACCCGUUAGAAAAAUUAAAAAGGAAAAAACUUGCUAAAAUGAAAAUUUUACCUCCUUGUCCGUGGAGAUUCUCAAUCUCUGGUGCACAUCUAGUGAAAGUACGGCUCCAGAAGUUGUACCUAGGAUUCUGGAUAUGAAUUUUCUGCAAUGUGUAAAAGAAGAAACAUCUAUGUAUAAAUAAGCAGAAAGGUCACCUUAAUAAGCUCAAUAAAAGUAAUCAGCUCCUGAAUAAGUAAUGGAAAGCAUUGGAGCAAGUCUAGAACAUAUCGAAGAGAGCAAUUUAGCUUUUAUAACUACAAACCAGUAGAAGGCCUACAUAUGUCUAGCUUCUUUACAUAUUUUCAGUCUAAUAUUUGUAGCUUUCUCAUGGCUUGCGGGGGUUGGUAGUUGCUGAACUAUAAAGAUUGGUUUUAUAUAUUCUCUUAAUUUGCUUCAGGGUUAUUUUGUAACUACUUGAACUCAUUAAUUUGUAGUAGCUUCUAGUUAUUUUACAAAUUACAACUACGCAGUAUAGAUUUUAUUACCCUACUGUGGCUUAGGAACUAUGAUAUGAGGAAUUAGAAUCAUCCAUUUUUUGCUGCUCUUGUGGGCACCACUAGUUGGUGGGUAAUUGCUGAAUUUGAAAGUUUCAUGUCAAGCAAUCCAGCUUGCCUUUGAAUCUUCCCAAAAAGCCACCUUUGAUCUCAUUUUUUGGUCAAAUCGAGUCAAAAAGCUUGAUAAGACUCGACUCGAUAAGGCUUGACUAAAGGUCGAGCCUUAUCGAGUCGAGUCUCGAGCCUAAAGGAAAUUCUUCGAGUCGAGCUUCGAGUAUCCAUUUUUUAGACUCGAUCGAGCUCGAGUUUCUGUGUAUAUAUGAGUCGAGUCGAGAGAUACUCGAGUAUAGCGAUACUCGAGCUCGACUCGGCUCGAUUAUAUCCUUAUGACAUUAAACAGUAGACAACGCAGAGGAGACUAGGAUUUUUAUGUCGAGACCAAACAGGCUUCAUUUACGUUCACUCAGCGACUAAACCAGAAAACCCCGCCGCCGGCAGUGUGCCACAAGCCAGGGGCAUUUUGGACAUCUUCAGAAUCUUUCAAGCCACCUACAUUCAAGCUGUCGGGCUAAUUCCGAUAAAGACGACGCCAAAUUUAAGAUCUGACGGAGAUUUCACAUUAACGAUAUGGCCAAAGAGAACAACUCCUCCGCUAUGGAUGUGGACAACCAGAAUUCGGAAUCCGUUGAUCAGAUUAAUAGCCCUAGGUUCUCUAUC